RNAcentral lists this ribosomal RNA (404 nucleotides) under uncultured bacterium. RNAcentral describes it as "bacterial SSU rRNA". It matches the Rfam family "Bacterial small subunit ribosomal RNA", at positions 11 to 429 of the family's 1533-position model. The record is from RNAcentral.
GUUUGAUCCUGGCUCAGAAUCAACGCUGGCGGCGUGCCUAACACAUGCAAGUCGCACGAGAAAGGGGCUUCGGCUCUGAGUAAAGUGGCGCACGGGUGAGUAACACGUGAAUCAUCUACCUCCGAAUGGGGAAUAACUGAGAGAAAUCUUAGCUAAUACCGCAUAAUACCUACGGGUCAAAGCAGCAAUGCGUUUGGAGAGGAGUUCGCGGUCGAUUAGUUAGUUGGCGGGGUAAUGGCCCACCAAGACGAUGAUCGAUAUCCGGCCUGAGAGGGCGCACGGACACACUGGAACUGAAACACGGUCCAGACUCCUACGGGAGGCAGCAGUGGGGAAUUUUGCGCAAUGGGGGAAACCCUGACGCAGCAACGCCGCGUGGAGGAUGAAAUAUCUUGGUAUGUAAA